RNAcentral lists this ribosomal RNA (164 nucleotides) under uncultured bacterium. RNAcentral describes it as "partial 16S rRNA". It matches the Rfam family "Bacterial small subunit ribosomal RNA", at positions 355 to 511 of the family's 1533-position model. The record is from RNAcentral.
UAGGGAAUCUUCCACAAUGGGCGAAAGCCUGAUGGAGCAACGCCGCGUGUGUGAUGAAGGGUUUCGGCUCGUAAAACACUGUUGUAAGAGAAGAAUGACAUUGAAAGUAACUGUUCAAUGUGUGACGGUAUCUUACCAGAAAGGAACGGCUAAAUACGUGCCAG